CUCCUGGGAGGAAAGGGGCAGGUCUCCCUUACGCUCUCGUUGUCUCUACGCCUCGCCGUUCUUGGUGCAGAGGACUCGGGAGGGCUGCGUUAAUGAGACAAGACGUUGCCUCUGCUCUGUGACCAUGAAACUGUUUGACCCAUAGACCCUGGACGCCCGGGGUCUCACAGACCGGGCACUGUGAGGUCACAGGCGGCCUGACGCUGGGCCGCCUUCCUGGAGAGGGAGCCGAGCGCCCGUGCCCUCCGGAGAGAGAGGUCCCUCUGGCCCUCGUCUCCAACUCGGGCCGGCUUUCUGUGCCUUUAACACUUGCAAAAUGUCCAGGAAGCAAGGCUUAUUUAGAAUACAGUAGAAUUUGAAGGGGCAAGACUUUUCAGAAGUGGGCAGAGGGUCUGAGAAACUUAGAAAAGGAAAAGCAAUUAACAGGUUCUCUCCUUUCGUCCUGCCCGCGGGGACCUGAGCACCUGACAAGUGGCCAGUCCGAAGGCUUAGUAUGAAAAUAACGAAAAUGUCUCGCUAACAAUUUUUACAUCGAUUACAUGUUGAGAUAAUAUAUUGAUAUAUUAGAUGAAAAUAUAUUGAAAUUGUACUUUGAAAAUAUAGCUAUCAGAAAAAAUUUCAAUUGCACGUAUGACUCGCAUUAGUUUUCUUUUGGACGGCAGUGCUCUUUUUGUGGUUAAGUGAGUUUGUUUAGAUACUGAGGAUUUAUGGGUCCUGCAAAAUGUCUGUAGUGCUAUUUGCCAUCACUAGAUGGCUGCCUCAUUCAACAGACUAGUUUUAUAUUUCCAUCUAACAACUACCAAGAAUUCCACAUAUUUUCAGAGAUUCGAUCGACUUUUUCUGUAACACUGACUGUAAACACAAACCUGAAGUAAAGGCCCUGAGCUUAAAAAGUUGGUUGUAUUCCUGUGGUCCAAGGACAUUAUCAUCAUUGGUUCGGAAAGCCACAAUCAGAAGAUGAUACGUGAACAAUACCUGGAGAGAGGGAUUGAACUCAGGACCUUGCGCUUGUGGAGCGGCCGUGGUGCUAUUGAGCUAAACCCCCAGCCCUAUUUAAAAAUAUUUCUUCAUUGUUCAAGUUGUAGAAGUAAAGAUGGCUGCUUAGACCUUGUGAAGGAAUAGCAGACCAGUUCCAAGCAUGAUGCAGCUGCAGUAUUACAGGACCAAGACUCUGUGAGUUAAAGAAACAGGAUGAACACAGGAAUGAAAGCCAAGCAGCAAGCUGUCAAGUCACAGAGGAGAGAGUCAGAGACAGGCCAAGCCAGGAAGUAGGAUCAGUUAAGAGUGCUAGAGAGGGUGCAAAGGACCCUGAAGAGAAUCCUCAUGUCCUGGAACACUCAGCCUGAUCUGAAAAACAGUCUUCCCCCAGUGUAGCUGCAGAGAAGGGGGGUGAUUGUGGACAUUUACCACCCAUACUAGAUGGAUCCAGCCUGGGUUAAGGUGACUAUUCUGACUCCUUCCAGUCCCUCACACCUCUUCAUCUUGUAACAGAAAUGUUCUUUCCUGUGGACAAUUCAUCCCACAUAGCAUAAGGCUGACCUCACAUACCUGGGGUGACAGCCUUCCUGGAUUUCCUGGGACUGAGGGGUUUCUUGGGAAAUAGGACCUUCAGUUUUAAAACUGAAAGAAUCCUAGGAAAUGUGGGAUGAGUUGGUUACCUUGAUCCUCAUGAUAAUCACUCUUUCACUGUAAAGAAACACAUAUAUUACCCUAAUUUGGGCUGAUGGAUGUCCUUCCCAGGACAUUAACUUAUUUUCAAAGUUGGGCCCAUUAACUCAGGCUGGAUUAAGUCAAUAGGAUGGAUGUUGUGAUCUGCUGGUGAUCAUUACCCCUUAUAGGGCAAAUAUCUGUCUGAGAGAUAAAGCUUGAAUUCCAAUCUCUGAUGACUAUCUUACCCAGCUAAGUAUGAAACAAACACUACUUGAGAAACUUUUAGGACAGGAGCUAAUAAACUUCUGCCUAAAUUUGGAUUUGGUUUUUGGCGUGGCUUAAUAUAGUUGGUACUUUGGAUAGAAGACAUGAGACUUAUGUGUAUAGGCAUCUUACCUACAAGAGGUCUCUCACUUCAUGAGAUAUAAGAGCUG
Molecule: long non-coding RNA, 2084 nt
Filed under: Heterocephalus glaber (naked mole-rat)
Lineage: Eukaryota; Metazoa; Chordata; Mammalia; Rodentia; Bathyergidae
Description: lncRNA (ENSHGLG00000045106.1)
Source: RNAcentral